GAUGAAGAACGUAGCGAAAUGCGAUAAGUAAUGUGAAUUGCAGAAUUCAGUGAAUCAUCGAAUCUUUGAACGCACAUUGCGCCCAUUAGUAUUCUAGUGGGCAUGCCUGUUCGAGCGUCAUUAAGUCCACUUAAGCCAUGCUUAGUGUUGGGAGACUGCUCCAGCGGUGCUACCCUGUAGCUACCCUGCAGCUCCUCAAAGACAGCGGCGGAGUUGUGGUAUCCUCUGAGCUUAGUAACUUGUUCUAGCUUUCGAGUACACCACUUCCCCUGCCGUAAAACCCUUAAUUUUUAAUGGUUGACCUCGGAUCAGGUAGGAAUACCCGCUGAACUUAAGCAUAUCAAUAAGCGGAGGA
Molecule: unclassified non-coding RNA, 355 nt
Filed under: soil metagenome
Description: partial contains 5.8S ribosomal RNA, internal transcribed spacer 2, and large subunit ribosomal RNA
Rfam family: 5.8S ribosomal RNA (bases 1-120)
Source: RNAcentral